CGAAGAACCUUACCAGGUCUUGACAUCCUUUGACCACUCUAGAGAUAGAGCUUCCCCUUCGGGGGCAAAGUGACAGGUGGUGCAUGGUUGUCGUCAGCUCGUGUCGUGAGAUGUUGGGUUAAGUCCCGCAACGAGCGCAACCCUUAUUGUUAGUUGCCAUCAUUCAGUUGGGCACUCUAGCAAGACUGCCGGUGACAAACCGGAGGAAGGUGGGGAUGACGUCAAAUCAUCAUGCCCCUUAUGACCUGGGCUACACACGUGCUACAAUGGGAAGUACAACGAGUUGCGAAGUCGCGAGGCUAAGCUAAUCUCUUAAAGCUUCUCUCAGUUCGGAUUGUAGUCUGCAACUCGACUACAUGAAGCCGGAAUCGCUAGUAAUCGCGGAUCAGCACGCCGCGGUGAAUACGUUCCCGGGUCUUGUACACA
Molecule: ribosomal RNA, 426 nt
Filed under: uncultured prokaryote
Description: bacterial SSU rRNA
Rfam family: Bacterial small subunit ribosomal RNA
Source: RNAcentral